UAGGGAAUCUUCCACAAUGGGCGAAAGCCUGAUGGAGCAACGUCGCGUGUGUGAUGAAGGGUUUCGGCUCGUAAACACUGUUGUAAGAGAAGAAUGACAUUGAGAGUAACUGUUCAAUGUGUGACGGUAUCUUACCAGAAAGGAACGGCUAAAUACGUGCCAC
RNAcentral lists this ribosomal RNA (163 nucleotides) under uncultured bacterium. Its description in RNAcentral is "partial 16S rRNA". It matches the Rfam family "Bacterial small subunit ribosomal RNA", at positions 355 to 511 of the family's 1533-position model. The record is from RNAcentral.